UCAGCACAACAUAAAUAUAUGCCAAUUUGAACUUUUGUUAAUCACCAUACUUGGUCCUCUGCAAUAUUUUCCUCAUAUAAAAGUCCAUCAGCAUUUAUCCAUGCACUAAAGCCAGAAAAACCUAGGAAUAAUUUUUCACCCUCUCCCAUUUCCAGAUCUAAUCAAUCUAUUACUAUCUUUCCAAAAUAUACUUAACACUGGCACUCCUGUAUCUCUCACUUCCCGCUAAUCCAGUAUCCAGUCUAUUGCACUGAUCUAUCCGUCAGCAUUUUUAAUCAGUGUCUACAGGCCCUUUCUUGCUGAUCAUCCAGCUCAGUGUCAUGGUCCUCUCUAAUUCAUCUUUUACAAAGAAGCCAAAUUGUCUGUUGAUAAUAUAAACAAAAUGAUGUUACACUUCUAAGGAAAACCUCUCAGUGGCUUCCCUUCACUCUUAAAAUAAGGAUUAGAGUAAGAAAUCAAACAGUCUUACCUAGGCAUGAGGCAGUAUAUGAACUACCUGAGGACUUGUUACCUUCCUAUUAUUCUAACCAUUCAUUACUUCUCUACAUAUCAUUGUAUUUCCCUAUUAUGUAUCCUCACACAUAAUUUUCUUCAUGACUCUUAUCACACUUUAGAAUUAUAGUGAAUUAUUAUGUAUCUGUUUGGUCAUUUGAUUAGUAUCUUUGUUCCCCAAAGAAUUAUAAGAUCCUAUAGUUGUCUCAAUGUUUAUCCAAGUCGCUGGGCAUAGAUCCUGGAUAAGCAUUCAGAUUACCAGUUCUNNNNNNNNNNNNNNNNNNNNNNNNNNNNNNNNNNNNNNNNNNNNNNNNNNNNNNUUAUGACCCAGUUUUGAAGUGUAACAUAAAUUUAGAAAAGUUAAAUAACUCUGCUAACAUCUAAAACAGCGAACUUUUAAUCUCAGCUUUAGCACACACCAGCUAUAGAUUUAGUUUACUUAAUUACACCUUACGUUUACAGCUGUAGUAUAGAAAAAAUACAGAGUAAAACACACAAAAUUGAUAUUCAGCACUGUUGUUCAAGAUACGUACUGAAUAAAUGGCAACCAAAAAAGAGCGGAUGAAGAGGGACGUCUGGAGCCAAGGUUCCCAGGCCCUCUUUCCACACUGCCUUACUCUUCCAGUUUCCCAAACAAAAGCUCUCUCCUUUUGUGUUGCCCAUGUAUCCACUUCCCAGUGAGAACACUGGAGUGUGAGUUAAUAACACUGAGGCACUCACACCAAACAAAAGCUUUGUGAUUUCAGGCAUCAGGGGGUAUUGUUGAGGAUUGUUGGUGUAGGGCAGAAGAGGAGUACAGAGAAAAUCUCUAAAAUUAGAUCACAAACAAACUUUUCUUCAGAUUUAUGUAUUAUAAU
RNAcentral lists this long non-coding RNA (1349 nucleotides) under Capra hircus (goat). Its description in RNAcentral is "lncRNA (ENSCHIG00010006707.1)". The record is from RNAcentral. Lineage: Eukaryota; Metazoa; Chordata; Mammalia; Artiodactyla; Bovidae.